Molecule: long non-coding RNA, 1429 nt
Filed under: Homo sapiens (human)
Lineage: Eukaryota; Metazoa; Chordata; Mammalia; Primates; Hominidae
Description: HSALNT0121186
Source: RNAcentral
CUGGCCCUGGGAGGACUUUUCUGAAUCCAGACCAGAGCUAGGAAGACCCAGUUGAGACAGCGGACACUAGAGCAGCCUGGAAGGGAACACCUGCCUACGAAGCCCCUAGGAGCAUGAGGUGUUUCCUCCCACAGCUUCCUGUCCUGCCCAGGGCUAAGAGGACAAGACUGGCAGAAGGACAACCAGCAAUGCUGAGGGACUGUGGCUCAAGGCACUGAUGUCAUUGCCUUGGGUUGCAGGAGUCUAACUCUGUCACCUAGGCUGGAGUGCAGUGGAGCAAUUGCGGCUCACUGCAGCCUCAACUUCCUGGGCUCAAGCAAUCCUCCCACCUCAGCCUCAUGAGUAGCUUGGACUACAGUGCCCGAGGGGCAAAACUGCAGCAGAGUGGCUCCUGUAUCCUCAGCACUCAACAUGGACCCCGUUGUUGGUGUUCAAGAAACAUUUGAGGAGCUGCACUUACUUGGAAUGAGAAAAAGUUACACCCAUGACCUCCAGGUAAAGCAGACAGCAAAUGGCAUAAGUGAAGGGCCCUGCAGCAGCCACAGACACAGGCCUGGGGAAAUAGAGGAUCCCAGAUGGAAGAGCUGCCACUUACUGGGCACCGCCCUGUGCCAAACCCAACACCGUGUGCACUCUGUAGACUCUCAUUGAAUCCCUAAAUCCUUCCGUGGUAUGGAUUAUUAUCUCCAUUUUACUAAUGAGGCCAUUAAAGCUCAGAAGAUUAAGUAACGUGACCAGUAUAAAGUACAAGAAAAUGACAGAUUCCGAUUUUUUUUUUUUUUUUUGAGACAGGGUCUCUCUCUCUCUCUCUCUCUCUUUCUCUCUCUGUUGCCCAGGCUGGAGUGCAGUGAUCCAAUCACAGCUCACUGUAGCCUUGACCUCUAGGUUCAAGCAAUCCACCCCCACUCAGCCUCCCACAUAGCUAGGACCAUAGGUGUGCACCACCAUGCCCAGCUCCUUUUCUUUUUUUUUUCUUUGGUAGAGACGGGGUUCUCACUAUGUUGCCUGGCUGAUCUUGAACUCCUGGACUCAAGCAAUCCUCCCACCUCAGCCUCCCAAAGUGCUGAGAUUACAGGCAUGAGCCACUGCAGAUUCAGAUUUUGAGCACUUGUCUAGCUGAUUUCAAAGCCUGUCCUCUUUCCACAAUCAGGUCUUAAGUCAUAUCCUGAAGAGUUUGUCAUUGCUCUUCCAGGAAUCCGAUCCCCACUGGACAGGCUGGGAAGGUCUGGGCUGCUAGUGGUGUUGCAGAUAGACUCCCAGGCAGCUGAUGGAGGUGUGGAAUGAAGAGCGUGAGAGAUAACAGAAGCAGGCAUGGCAGUGCUACCCAGCAGAGCCAUGUGACAGAGGCGGGGAUGCUGCCGUGGGUUGUCCAGCAAAUAGAGAUGCCAGGCCUGAGGCUUGAUUCUCUCAGACCUUCUGCCUCUGGCAG